CAUUCUUGGAAGAUGUUCGGUUUUUUUUUUUUUUUUUUUUUAAUUUUUACCUUUGCUGCCAUCAUCACCUCCACUUUUCAUUCUCAAUGGAGGAGACUCCUCAUU
This 105-nucleotide non-coding RNA is filed under the name Heterosigma akashiwo. The record is from RNAcentral. Lineage: Eukaryota; Raphidophyceae; Chattonellales; Chattonellaceae.